RNAcentral lists this ribosomal RNA (303 nucleotides) under Triticum aestivum (bread wheat). Its description in RNAcentral is "partial small subunit ribosomal RNA". Lineage: Eukaryota; Viridiplantae; Streptophyta; Magnoliopsida; Poales; Poaceae. The record is from RNAcentral.
AUGCAGGCUGCAAAAAUGGAGGGCAUCACCGACUCGGAUGUUGUGUCCUGCUCAAGCACGUCAUUAAUGUGUGUUGGACAUGGACUCCACAUGGAAUGCUCUCGUUGCCACAUCAAAGAUGGCCUCAAGCCCCUAUACGGAAGUGUCCAGUCUUGCCGUUCUACCAUUUUCUCUAGAACAACGAUGUACAACUUCGACGGAACACGGAUCGUCAAUGCUCCACCUGAGAAUAAACUUCUCACGAGAAAUUACUUCUGGUGUUGCAAUGUAGCUAGAUUGGAGAGAAACAUGAUAGCAUCUUAA